UUUUUUGGGUGGCCGUGUGUGGGGGGCUUACGCCCGCCGGAGCCUGUCUCCCGGUCUGUCAACCCGCAUACGUGCCGCCCACCCGU
This 86-nucleotide non-coding RNA is filed under the name Nitrosomonas nitrosa. Lineage: Bacteria; Pseudomonadati; Pseudomonadota; Betaproteobacteria; Nitrosomonadales; Nitrosomonadaceae. The record is from RNAcentral.